Long non-coding RNA from Panthera uncia (snow leopard), 4183 nucleotides. RefSeq lists it as uncharacterized. The record is from RefSeq and is a predicted model, not a curated record. NCBI's taxonomy places the organism in Eukaryota, Metazoa, Chordata, Mammalia, Carnivora, Felidae. The transcript has 2 exons.
CUUGGUUUUGGCUCAGGUGAUGAUCUCAUGGUUUAGGAGUUCGAGCCCUGCAUCGGGUUCUGUGUUGACAGUGCUGAGCCUGCUUGGGAUAUUCUCUCUCUCUCUCUCUCCUUCUCCCUUUGCCCCUCCCCUGCACGGGCACGCACGCGCUCUCUCUCUCUCUCAAAAUAAAUACAUAAACUUAAAAAAAGCAAAACAUAUGGGGCUCCUGAGUGGCUCAGUCGGUUAAGCGUCCGACUUCAGCUCAGGUCACAAUCUCACGGUUCAUGAGUUCGAGCCCUGCGUUGGGCUCUGUGCUGACAGCUCAGAGCCUGGAGCCUGCUUGGGAUUCUGUGUCUCCUUCUCUCUCUCUGCCCCUCCUGCACUUGUGCUCGAUCUCUCUCUGUCUCUCAAAAAUAAAUAAAUGUAAAAAAAAUUUUUUUUCUAAAGCAAGAAAUAAGAGUAUAGUUACCGUGAUGAGUCCUGAGAAAUGCAGUGAAUUGUCGAAUCACAUCAGACACCUGGAACGAAUAUAACACUGUAUAUUAACCAGACUUGACUACAUGUAAAAUGAAACAAAAAACAAACCAGCGAAAGGAAUGAAUCCUUAAAAGCCCCGCCUUCGUGGAAGAGAGUAAUGCAUGGGCACCUGAUCCCUUUAUAAGCUUGGCAAGGCAUCUGCACCCAGGACGGUAUUCGCUACAAGAGCCCUGCGAUGAAAACCUUUCUUCUUGCCUCACAGAAAACUAUGGUUCAGAUGGGCGAGAUGAUUUGCUCAAGAAGUGGGGAGGCGGGCGGCCUCCCUGCUCUGGUUUCUUGUUUUCUUUUCUGGCUCCUGGGCUUUCCCGGGAGAAAAGGGGGGCGGGCCCUGCAGGGGGCGCUCUCUGCGGCUCCCUCUCCACGCAGCCUGUGGCACCAGCAGGAAGAAGAAAGAUCAGCAUUAUCCGGACGAGGGAGGACACUCUCCAGGUAGGAAUUUCAUCCUCUGCUUUUAAGAAACGGGAGGAGGCUCCCUCCCUGCCCGGACACACCCGGCCAACGAGAAGCCGCCACACCCUUGAACUCUUCUUCUUCCCCGCUGAACUCGCAUUCAGAGCAACCCUCCCCAGUGUCCUCCCGACGGGUAGGAAAAGGCGCCUUCCCUUUGUCUCUCCAGACUCGCGUGUGGCUCGCCAUGGUCUGUCCCGAAGGGCGAUUCCUCUGCUGUUCCCGAAGGAAGUCAUUUCGCGGGUGACAGAGCUAUUGGAUUUUUAAGGCUGGCAGCCCAGAGGGAGAGAAAUCCUUAAAACCCUCAAGUAUUCCAGAAAUGUACUUUCCGGCCCUAAACUCUCCCUGUUGGCUCGAGAUAAGUCCACGAAACUUCACGUACCGAUCUCAGAGCUCAGCUGGUGGGGGAGGGGGGGCAAGCCCGGCAGUCUGAGCCCCCGAUGACGCACGGCGGCUGCCACUUGCUGAGUUUGCCUCCCCGAUUUUCGCUGUGACUCAGUUUCCUCGCUUUGGGGAAGAGUACAUACCUGACAGGGGUGCUGAGGGGACGACGAGAGGCAAAAUAGGGAUGGCGCUCAGCACACAGUAGGUGCUCAGUUAAUAAGAACUGAUAUUUUCUUUAUGUAAUGUUUAUUUUUGAGAGAGAGCGACAGAGCGCAGGUGGAGGAGGGGCAGAGAGAGAGGGAGGCACAGAACCCGAAGCAGGCUCCAGGCUCUGAGCCGUCAGCCCAGAGCCCGACGCGGGGCUCGAACCCAUGAGCCGCGAGAUCGUGACCUGAGCCGAAGUCGGACGCUUAACCGACUGAGCCACCCAGGCGCCCCUAGUCACAGACUUCAAAAGGAAAACAACCACAGACUCACAAGACAAAAAAGUACGGCCCCGUGUCCCUUACACCCAACUUUCCCCGAUGGGGACAGCUCACGUAACCGCAGUCAUUGCCAAGGCCAGCAAACGGACCCUAGCACCGCGAACUAGCUGGCAGACCUCGCUCAAAUUUCACUCGUUCCCGCACACGCUCGUUUUAGACAUAAAGAUGGUCCUGCGACGUGUUACCACCGGUCCAGUUCAGGCGACCAUCGCAACACUCGAGACCCUUCUGUUGCUGCUGGGGCGCUCCACAGGACCGACCCUCGAGGGUGACACCUUCUCAGGACGUCCCUAACUCCUGGUGACCGCCGAUCUGCUGCCCACCUCCAUAAUUUGGGCCUUAUGAGAAUAUUUCACAAGCGGAUUCGUACAGCACGUAACCCUUCAAGGCUGGCUUUCAAACAAUUCACUCAGAGUGAUGCCCUGGAGCUCCAUCCGGGUUGCUGCCUAUAUAAAUAGCUCUUUCCUUUCUGUGGCUGAAUAAUCGGUCUCUAAAAGAGGGACAGGACCCCGGAGGCCCCUCCCAACCUCCUUCCGCUGUGCCGGGAUCCCCCGCGGAACCCCCACGUGUGGAGGUCUCACCUCCAGGAGCCAGUGGCCCUUCCACAUCGCUUUGCUCUUCUGCAGGGAGAGUCCUGGGCACGGCUCCCUCGCCUCUGCCCCUCUGGCUUUCUCUCUUUACUCCCUCCUUGUCCUUUUCCAAAGUGCACUCUGUGAACCUCCUUCCCCCUCUGCCUGGUGGGCGGGUCAGGCAACCCCAGGACUGCCCAGCCCUUGUGGGCAGAGGUGGGGACCCGGUCCAGCACUACCCCUACGCAAAGUGCAGCCAAGUCACGGAUCUCAGAGGGGAGAACCGGUAUUUGCCGAGUAGCUGCAGGGGGUUGAGGGGGGGGGUCCCCUCAAAAGAUGUGUCCAUGAUCUAAUCUCUGCAACCCCUAACCGUGACUUUACGUGGAAAGACCUUAGGUCUCUGCAAAUCCUCUAAGUUAAAGAUCUUGAGAUCGUCGCAGGCUGUCCGGGUGGGCCCUAAAUCCAAUGGCUAGUGUCCUUACAAGAGACACGGAAGAGAGACGACAGGGAGCUGGGGGGAGGGCCCAGGCAGAGGCAGAGAUUGGAGGGACGCCUGGAGCCAGAGAGGCAAGCUCUCCCCUGGAGCCCCCAGGAAAGGGCAGAGCUAAAAGGAGGAAAAGCACCCCCAGCCCUUGGGUGGCGCCCCCCCCCCCCCCAGCUCUGUCAUAUGGCAGGCCCACGAGUGUCCUCGCUGGAAGCUCACAGCCUUCCUUAGCAACCGAGGUGGCCAAACAGAGGUCCCGGGACGCUGGCGGGCGGGGCAGCCACUUGGGUCCACACGCUGACCAAGGGGGUGGGUGCCAUGGCCCUUCUCUAAGGAAGGCCUUCUCCCCCUCCCUCCCUCUUGUUCUCACUGCCCUCCAGGUGCCCAGCAGGGGGCCGGGGUUGUGCUCAGCUUAUGUUAAAAGAAUGAAUGAACCAAUGAGCAGAUGAGAGCUUCAGUGGUCCCCAGCAGUCCCGUGGAGUCUCCCGCGCUGACACACACAGGCCCAGUCACCGCCUCCCCGGGUCCUGCUUAUACACAACUUGGGAUGAACCCCUACAGGGCAGGUUUUGCUUCGUCUGAUGACUCCAGAAGCUCCUGGAACUUAGCAUCCCGGUCUGUGUCCCUGUCCCCAGUCAAGCACACAGUCGGUCCUCAAUAACGGAAGCGGACUGAGGUUUCUAGGAGACCCUGGCCACUGGCCCAACCUCCGCCAUGCUGAGCUACUGGAAGCUUCUAGAAGAUGCGCAAAGUAGGUGCCCGCCGCGGAAGCAAAGCACAGUCCCUUCCAGGCCACCCGCUCUGGCAAGACAGACACCGGCAGACACAUGGCUCGUAGCACGUGGUACUCUUUAUUGUGACGCUCAGUGGAAAACAUCUGUAAACCAGCUAACUGUAGUGGUGACAGCCGUAACGCAUGCUAAGGCACUUUUAUUAUAUAAAAAAAGGGUGGGGCUGGGAGCUCCGUUCACUCCUUUGUGACAGCAACUGGGACCUGAAUUCAGAGCUUUUUAGGCAUAUGUAGCUUUCGUGUAUCUUCAUGAUUUGUUGAGUUUGUUUCCUUUAAAAAAAAAAAAAAUGCCUUCUUUGCCAUAAGUAAGUCUAAAUGCAGCAUAUACAAAACAGGAACACAGGUGAAUUAAUUCAGCAGCCAGUGUAGACCAGCGCAGGACAAACUAUUCUCUUCUAAACGUGGUUCCAAAGGAGAGGCAGUGAUAAAGACUUGGAAUUGUAUCAUUUAUUAUAAGAAGGGGAAAAAAAAAGAAAACUUUUUUUUUUUUUCCUUUCAAAAACAU